GUGCCAGCAGCCGCGGGUAAUACGUAGGUGGCAAGCGUUGUCCGGAUUUAUUGGGCGUAAAGCGAGCGCAGGCGGUUUCUUAAGUCUGAUGUGAAAGCCUUCGGCUCAACCGAAGAAGUGCAUCGGAAACUGGGAAACUUGAGUGCAGAAGAGGACAGUGGAACUCCAUGUGUAGCGGUGAAAUGCGUAGAUAUAUGGAAGAACACCAGUGGCGAAGGCGGCUGUCUGGUCUGUAACUGACGCUGAGGCUCGAAAGCAUGGGUAGCAAACAGGAUUAGAUACCCUGGUAGUCCAUGCCGUAAACGAUGAGUGCUAGGUGUUGGAGGGUUUCCGCCCUUCAGUGCCGCAGCUAACGCAUUAAGCACUCCGCCUGGGGAGUACGACCGCAAGGUUGAAACUCAAAGGAAUUGACGGGGGCCCGCACAAGCGGUGGAGCAUGUGGUUUAAUUCGAAGCAACGCGAAGAACCUUACCAGGUCUUGACAUCCUUUGACCACUCUAGAGAUAGAGCUUUCCCUUCGGGGACAAAGUGACAGGUGGCGCAUGGUUGUCGUCAGCUCGUGUCGUGAGAUGUUGGGUUAAGUCCCGCAACGAGCGCAACCCUUAUUACUAGUUGCCAGCAUUUAGUUGGGCACUCUAGUGAGACUGCCGGUGACAAACCGGAGGAAGGUGGGGACGACGUCAAAUCAUCAUGCCCCUUAUGACCUGGGCUACACACGUGCUACAAUGGAUGGUACAACGAGUUGCGAGACCGCGAGGUUUAGCUAAUCUCUUAAAACCAUUCUCAGUUCGGAUUGUAGGCUGCAACUCGCCUACAUGAAGCCGGAAUCGCUAGUAAUCGCGGAUCAGCAUGCCGCGGUGAAUACGUUCCCGGGCCUUGUACACACCGCCCGU
This 893-nucleotide ribosomal RNA is filed under the name uncultured bacterium. Its description in RNAcentral is "bacterial SSU rRNA". It matches the Rfam family "Bacterial small subunit ribosomal RNA", at positions 505 to 1397 of the family's 1533-position model. The record is from RNAcentral.